This 253-nucleotide unclassified non-coding RNA is filed under the name Hevea brasiliensis (rubber tree). The record is from RNAcentral. Lineage: Eukaryota; Viridiplantae; Streptophyta; Magnoliopsida; Malpighiales; Euphorbiaceae.
AAAUAUAUCUGAAGACUUCGAAUUAUUUUGCCGUGCUUUUAAAUGGUAAUAGGUUGGACAUGUUGUGCAGUACGGAUCGUUGCACAUGCCCAGUUGUCCAGACUUAAAGAGAUGUUCAUUUUUCCCAGUGUAGUCAUUAUUACGCCAACCAUUUCGUUCUGCACUGCUAAUUGAAGGAUAUCUUUCUGUUGGAGGCAGAGUUGAUUUAUGCACUACUGCAGCGGGAGUGGGCCGAAAGCUAUUCUCAGGCUCG